Cercocebus atys (sooty mangabey) is the source of this 5444-nucleotide RNA transcript. It is a transcript of the gene named Fanconi anemia, complementation group C, with no coding region annotated. NCBI's taxonomy places the organism in Eukaryota, Metazoa, Chordata, Mammalia, Primates, Cercopithecidae. The record is from RefSeq and is a predicted model, not a curated record. The transcript has 16 exons.
GAAACAAGGGCUGUCGGAGAGGGUGCUGGAGCCAUGUUUUGCAGGGUCAGGACUCCAAGCAGCUGCGAGUAUCUACGGGGAGUUUAAAUUUCUUUUCAAGGAAGCUGUGACGAGAGGAUUUACCCAGGGGAGUGUGCUGGUCUCAUUUACAUGUGCUGAAGUGUUUUCUGUCUACUGCAUCGAGAGUGAAUUGGAGAGGGGCGGGCCCAGCCCGGCAGCAGACGGUGCAGCACUCCAGGGCUAGGCGGAGGGCGGCAGCGAGGCGGAAGGAAGUGCACGCAGUCAAGUCAGAUCACACACAUUUAUUUUGGCGGUAGACUUGACAGGUGGUGUUGAUGGCUUGGAUGAGGAAGACAAUGAGGAGGCAUGGACGUUACCUAGAUUUUUGGCUAAGUACCAUUUUGACAAUAUGCAUAUAUUCGCUGUAUUAUUAAACUUCCUUUUCAUUUUGACAUGAUCCUUCUCAAAACUGUAAACGUUCUAGUAUAUGUGCUGCCCAAGUGAACGUGAAAACCGCACAUUUUUUAGGUAUUUUAAAACUUUCCCAAUCUAGAUUUUUUUGCACUGCAGCCAAAUUGUACAGUCAUUUCAGAUUUCUUCUUGUUUUCUUGUUUAGUAAUGGGAACCGCCUUUGUUGAUAUUUUGGGUAUUUAAUUGGGAGCAUUUUACCUGUUAAUUAUGGCUGUUGAGGAUUUAAACUCACUUUAUUUACCACCAGUCUUUUGAAGUUAGAUUGCUGAGUAUCCUGCCUGCCCGGGGAGUGUCAGAGCCUGUGAAGCUGCAGCUGUUGAGAGGCAGCUUUCCGUCCUCUGCGAUUCCUGCUUCCGGCUUCUGUGGGCGAAGAAGGGGUGUGGGAUGGGAGGGGCACCUGGAGCUGCUGAGCCAGCUCCACCUGAGGCUCACUGUGUAACUUCAUUGUUCUUUUCAGCAUGGCCUUCAGGGGUAGGAAGUCAGGCUUAUGAGAUGUUAUCUCCUGUGGCUUAGGACUGGUAUACCUCCUCAAUUUAAUGUGUGCCCAGCAUUUCCUUCAGUGCUGGACAGGCUGCUGUGAAGGGACAUCACCUUUUCCCUUUUUCCAAGAUGGCUCAAGAUUCAGUAGAUCUUUCUUGUGAUUAUCAGUUUUGGAUGCAGAAGCUUUCUGUGUGGGAGCAGGCUUCCACUUUGGGAACCCAGCAAGACACCUGUGUUCACCUGGCUCGGUUCCAGGAGUUCCUGAGGAAGAUGUAUGAAGCCUUGAAAGAGAUGGAUUCUAAUACAAUUUUUGAAAGAUUCCCCACAAUUGAUCAACUGUUGGCAAAAGCUUGUUGGAAUCCUUUUAUUUUAGCAUACGAUGAAAGCCAAAAAAUUCUAAUAUGGUGCUUAUGUUGUCUAAUUAACAAAGAACCACAGAAUUCUAGACAAUCAAAACUUAACUCCUGGGUACAGGGUGUAUUAUCUCAUAUACUUUCAGCACUCAGAUUUGAUAAAGAAGUUGCUCUUUUCACUCAGGGUCUUGGAUAUGCCCCUAUAGAUUACUAUCCCGGUCUGCUUAAAAAUAUGGUUUUAUCAUUAGCGUCUGAACUCAGAGAGAAUCAUCUUAAUGGAUUUAACACUCAAAGGCGAAUGACUCCCGAGCGAUUGGCGUCCCUGUCACGUGUCUGUGUCCCACUUAUUACCCUGCCAGAUGUUGACCCCCUGGUGGAGGCUUUGCUCGUCUGUCACGGACAUGAACCUCAGGAAAUCCUCCAGCCAGAGUUCUUUGAGGCUAUAAACGAGGCCAUUUUGCUGAAGAAGAUUUCUCUCCCCAUGUCGGCUGUAGUCUGCCUCUGGCUUCGGCACCUUCCCAGCCUUGAAAAAGCAAUGCUGCAUCUUUUUGAAAAGCUAAUCUCCAGUGAGAGAAAUUGUCUGAGAAGGAUCGAAUGCUUUAUAAAAGAUUCAUUGCUGCCUCAAGCAGCCUGCCACCCUGCCAUAUUCCGGGUUGUCGAUGAGAUGUUCAGGUGUGCACUCCUGGAAACCGAUGGGGCCCCGGAAAUCAUAGCCACUAUUCAAGUGUUUACGCAGUGCUUCCUAGAAGCUCUGGAGAAAGAAAACAAGCAGCUGCGGUUUGCACUCAAGACCUACUUUCCUUACACUUCUCCAUCUCUUGCCAUGGUGCUGCUGCAAGACCCUCAAGAUGUCCCUCGGGGACGCUGGCUGCAGACACUGAAGCACAUUUCCGAACUGCUCAGAGAAGCAGUUGAAGACCAGACUCAUGGGUCCCGCGGAGGUCCCUUGGAGAGCUGGUUCCUGUUCAUUCACUUCGGAGGAUGGGCUGAGAUGGUGGCCGAGCAGCUCCUGAGGUCGGCAGCCGAACCCCCCGCAGCCCUGCUGUGGCUCUUGGCCUUUUACUACAGCCCCCAUGAUGGGAGGCAGCAGAGAGCACAGACCAUGGUCCAGGUGAAGGCUGUGCUGGGCCACCUCCUGGCGAUGUCCAGAAGCAGCAGCCUCUCAGCCCGGGACCUGCAGACAGCAGCAGGACAGGACACAGAAACAGACCCCAGAGCUCCUGCACAACAGCUCAUCAGGCACCUUCUCCUCAACUUCGUGCUCUGGGCUCCUGGAGGCCACACGAUCGCCCGGGAUGUCAUCACCCUGAUGGCUCACACUGCCGAGAUAACUCACGAGAUCAUUGGCUUUCUUGACCAGACCUUGUACAGAUGGGAUCGUCUCGGCAUUGAAAGCCCUAGAUCAGGAAAACUGGCCCGAGAGCUCCUUAAAGAGCUGCAAACUCAAGUCUAGAAGGCACGCAGGCCGUGUGGGUGCCCGGCGUGAGGGAUCAGGCUCGCCAGGGUCACUGGACAGAUGAUGACCUAUGGCCGCGCAUUUGUGGAGUAAGUAAGUGCCCUCUUUGGGCUGUGAGAAUGAGCCAUACACAUCUUGGGAAGAUCUGCUAGUAUCUAUUUUACAAAAUGCAGAGCCAGGUCCCUCAGCCCAGACUCAGUUGGACAUGUUCACCAAUGACUUGAGCGAGCCUUCAGCGCUCCUGGUGCCCGCCCGGCCAGACUGUCAGCUAGAGAAUUACUAAAGCAAAGGCUUGGGUGGGAGAACAGGUUUCUAGUUUUUACCCAAGUCUAGAUGCACAUCUAUUAUUUAAAGAUUCAAAGCCUUAGAACCAAGAAUUUGGUGAUGAACCAUUGAAGAAUUUAGAGAGGACUCAGCUCUUUUUAGACUGUCUUCAGGAGUCAGGGAUCUGGGAUACAGCCACGCUGUCGUGCUGUACGGAGAAAUCUCCACGGGGAGUCAGCGUCCCUCAGGCUUCCCUUGCAUCUCCCUGGACCUGCCCGAUAGACCACAGGAGCAGACAGCGUCUCCUGUGAUAGGCAGGAUAGACCCAAGCCUGCGUCUCCUGCACACGCUUUCCACUCUAUUUGCUAAACGCUGACUCUGCCACCAAAGAGCUCCUGGGACAUGAGGGGCCGGCAGGUGAAGGUGGAGGACGUGUUCCAGACACAUUCAAAGGCAGGAUUCGUAUCAGUUAGUUCUCUUGGUAAACAGAGAUGGGAAUUGGAAAUUCCUGAUAAAGAACUGACCUGGCUGGGCGCGGUGGCUCACACCUGUGAUCCCAGCACUCUGGGAGGCCGAGGCAGGGGGAUCACUCCAGCCCAGGAGCUCCAGACUGGCCUGGCCAACAUGGCGAAACUCCAUCUCUACUAAAAAUACAAAAAUUAUUGGGGUGCCGUGGUGGGCGCCUAUAAUCCCAGCUAUUCGGGAGGCUGAGGCAUGAGGAUCCCUUGAACCCGGGAGGCAGGAGUUGUAGUGAGCUGAGAUCAUGCCAUUGCACUCCAGCCUGGGCAACAGAGUGAGACCUGUCUUAAAAAAAAAAAAAAAGGCAUUGUUGGUGUAAUCUCAAAGUUAACGUUUAUUUCACGUCAGCAGAGGAUGCUUUUUCCUGUCAGAGACAUUCUGGAAUUGUACCGAUUGUACAUUCUUUUGUGCCUAUUCUGUUUGUCAAGUGAGUCAAGACUUGCUUUUGUCCAUUUUGAUGUACGUGUGUUAGUCGGAGUCUUGGCUCCGUUUUGAGGCAUGAGCAAAGUUUCACUGGAUUAGAGGUUAACCUUUAGGGAAAUUCCUUUUCUUGGUAUGUGGCAAUGCUAAUAAAGCCACCUGAAGAUCUGGAAAAUUCCAGGAGCUUUUCACCUGAGCUUUUCUUCUGAGAAAUGCUGCAGUCAGAAGGGUGUGCUGGUAAAAUAUUUCGGUGGCAGCUGCCAUCGUGAUCAUUGCUUUCAUAGAACACACUCUGUGCCAUCAUGAUCCUUACCCUCAUAAAACAAACACACUUCGUCAGAGGCGUCGGGGUUGAAAAAGGAGCUGCUUCACUGGAGUUGAGGGCCUCGCUCCUGUUCUGACUUUGAGCCAGAACUUGUGGCUGGCCGUGGAAGCUGACUCCACUGUGGACACGGUGGCAGCAGGGAGCCCGGCUGGCCGUGGAAGCUCUGACUCCACUGUGGACAUGGUGGCAGCAGGGAGCCCCUAGAGGGAGGGUCACUGGGACCAGGCCUUCUGUCGUCAAGGGGAUUCUGGGACAGUCGCUCACCCUGUCCUGUGGUCCUGUGGUCCUGUUCACGGGGCUGGCCUUUCCCUCCUCCCCUGCCAGGCCUCUGACCAUGCCCCUUCCGUCUUCUCCACGGGGGACUGGUGAAGCCAGGCGUCUGGAAGACUUCCUGGCCUGGAAGCCCUGAGCUCAGCCUGUCUGUAGAAUCUCCCAGUUCCUUCACAGCUGCCGAGUCCUCUCGUGGGCGCGGUGGAAGUGGCUUUCCGGGCAGCCAGGGGUUCCCGGAUAGGACCGUCCCUCUGGGGAUGUGGCACCGAAGUGCCUGCUGGCUUCAUGUGGCCCUUUGCCCUUUCCCGGCCUGAGAGACGCUCAAAGGUGGGGAGCCAGGGGAGCCACCCCUCGGCUGGUCCCUCCACCUCUGGGACAGGUGGCAGCCGGGCAGGUGUGGGCAGGUGAGGGCCGCGGCUUCGCUCCUAAGCCCACCCUCCUGUUGCCUUCGAUUUUCGGCAAAGUCUGGGCAGGUGCCACCGGGAGGGAAUGGCGUCCGAGAUGCUGGGCGCGGCACUGUGCGGCCGAGGGGGCCUUGACAUCGCUGGCGGGGCCUGGGCACAGGGGCAGCCAUGGGGAGGCAGGGAUGCCAAGGCCUGGAGCCACCGUGGAAGGAACUGCUCGAGGUCUGCAGAGGUGCCACAGGGCCCAGAAUCUGACUUUACUUGACCUUUUCUAGACUCUCCCUGAUAGUUUUUGAUGAAGCAUGUUGGUAAAACCACUACCCUCAGAGAAAGCCAAAAAUACAGACGAGGCGGAGCUCGCCCCUCCAACCUGACUGUUACUCACCUGGACUCCACGACAUCUGUGGAAUUCGUAAGCUCUUUAAAAUCUGUAACUUGUCGUCUAUUUUUUCAUUCUAAAUAAAACUUCAAUUUGCACCUAA